AUUGAACGCUGGCGGAAUGCUUUACACAUGCAAGUCGAGCGGCAGCGCGGCCUUCGGGCUGGCGGCGAGCGGCGAACGGGUGAGUAAUGCAUCGGAACAUGCCCAGUCGUGGGGGAUAACACUUCGAAAGAAGUGCUAAUACCGCAUACGUCCUGAGGGGGAAAGCGGGGGAUCGCAAGACCUCGCGCGAUUGGAGUGGCCGAUGUCAGAUUAGCUAGUUGGUGGGGUAAAGGCCUACCAAGGCGACGAUCUGUAGCUGGUCUGAGAGGAUGAUCAGCCACACUGGGACUGAGACACGGCCCAGACUCCUACGGGAGGCAGCAGUGGGGAAUUUUGGACAAUGGGGGCAACCCUGAUCCAGCCAUUCCGCGUGAGUGAAGAAGGCCUUCGGGUUGUAAAGCUCUUUCGGCAGGAACGAAACGGUGGGCUCUAACAUAGUCCGCUAAUGACGGUACCUGAAGAAGAAGCGCCGGCUAACUACGUG
Molecule: ribosomal RNA, 484 nt
Filed under: uncultured bacterium
Lineage: Bacteria
Description: partial 16S ribosomal RNA
Rfam family: Bacterial small subunit ribosomal RNA
Source: RNAcentral